UCGUGCAUGAAAUAAUGUCUGUGUGCAUGUGUGUGAAACAACAAACUGACGAUUCAUAUAUAAUCAUUUGAAAUUGUAUAGAUAUUGUUGUGCUUAAUUG
Sinocyclocheilus grahami is the source of this 100-nucleotide long non-coding RNA. RefSeq lists it as uncharacterized. Lineage: Eukaryota; Metazoa; Chordata; Actinopteri; Cypriniformes; Cyprinidae. The record is from RefSeq and is a predicted model, not a curated record. The transcript is spliced from 3 exons.